RNAcentral lists this ribosomal RNA (478 nucleotides) under Micrococcus sp. RNAcentral's name for it is "bacterial SSU rRNA". It matches the Rfam family "Bacterial small subunit ribosomal RNA", at positions 381 to 869 of the family's 1533-position model. Lineage: Bacteria; Bacillati; Actinomycetota; Actinomycetes; Micrococcales; Micrococcaceae. The record is from RNAcentral.
GCCUGAUGCAGCGACGCCGCGUGAGGGAUGACGGCCUUCGGGUUGUAAACCUCUUUCAGUAGGGAAGAAGCGAAAGUGACGGUACCUGCAGAAGAAGCACCGGCUAACUACGUGCCAGCAGCCGCGGUAAUACGUAGGGUGCGAGCGUUAUCCGGAAUUAUUGGGCGUAAAGAGCUCGUAGGCGGUUUGUCGCGUCUGUCGUGAAAGUCCGGGGCUUAACCCCGGAUCUGCGGUGGGUACGGGCAGACUAGAGUGCAGUAGGGGAGACUGGAAUUCCUGGUGUAGCGGUGGAAUGCGCAGAUAUCAGGAGGAACACCGAUGGCGAAGGCAGGUCUCUGGGCUGUAACUGACGCUGAGGAGCGAAAGCAUGGGGAGCGAACAGGAUUAGAUACCCUGGUAGUCCAUGCCGUAAACGUUGGGCACUAGGUGUGGGGACCAUUCCACGGUUUCCGCGCCGCAGCUAACGCAUUAAGUGCCC